CCUACGGGAGGCAGCAGUGAGGAAUAUUGGUCAAUGGACGCAAGUCUGAACCAGCCAUGCCGCGUGCAGGAAGACGGCUCUAUGAGUUGUAAACUGCUUUUGUACGAGGGUAAACGCAGAUACGCGUAUCUGUCUGAAAGUAUCGUACGAAUAAGGAUCGGCUAACUCCGUGCCAGCAGCCGCGGUAAUACGGAGGAUUCAAGCGUUAUCCGGAUUUAUUGGGUUUAAAGGGUGCGUAGGCGGUCGGAUAAGUUAGAGGUGAAAUCCCGAGGCUCAACUUCGGAAUUGCCUCUGAUACUGGUCGGCGAGAGAGUAGUUGCAGUAGGCGGAAUGUAUGGUGUAGCGGUGAAAUGCUUAGAGAUCAUACAGAACACCGAUUGCGAAGGCAGCUUACCAAGCUACUUCUGACGUUGAGGCACGAAAGCGUGGGGAGCAAACAGGAUUAGAUACCCGAGUAGUC
Molecule: ribosomal RNA, 460 nt
Filed under: uncultured bacterium
Lineage: Bacteria
Description: partial 16S ribosomal RNA
Rfam family: Bacterial small subunit ribosomal RNA
Source: RNAcentral